AUUGAACGCUGGCGGCAUGCCUUACACAUGCAAGUCGAACGGUAACGGGCCUUCGGGUGCCGACGAGUGGCGAACGGGUGAGUAAUACAUCGGAACGUGCCCGAUCGUGGGGGAUAACGAGGCGAAAGCUUUGCUAAUACCGCAUACGAUCUACGGAUGAAAGCAGGGGACCGCAAGGCCUUGCGCGGACGGAGCGGCCGAUGGCAGAUUAGGUAGUUGGUGGGAUAAAAGCUUACCAAGCCGACGAUCUGUAGCUGGUCUGAGAGGAUGAUCAGCCACACUGGGACUGAGACACGGCCCAGACUCCUACGGGAGGCAGCAGUGGGGAAUGUUGGACAAUGGGCGCAAGCCUGAUCCAGCCAUGCCGCGUGCAGGAUGAAGGCCUUCGGGUUGUAAACUGCUUUUGUACGGAACGAAAAGCCUUCUUUUAAUACAGGAGGGUCAUGACGGUACCGGAAGAAUAAGCACCGGCUAACUACGUG
This 482-nucleotide ribosomal RNA is filed under the name uncultured bacterium. RNAcentral describes it as "partial 16S ribosomal RNA". It matches the Rfam family "Bacterial small subunit ribosomal RNA", at positions 30 to 507 of the family's 1533-position model. The record is from RNAcentral.